RNAcentral lists this non-coding RNA (28 nucleotides) under Mus musculus (house mouse). The record is from RNAcentral. Lineage: Eukaryota; Metazoa; Chordata; Mammalia; Rodentia; Muridae. RNAcentral also lists the same sequence under 1 other name.
UGAGGGCCUACUAUGUGCCGGGCUAUGU